RNAcentral lists this long non-coding RNA (4573 nucleotides) under Podarcis lilfordi (Lilford's wall lizard). The record is from RNAcentral. Lineage: Eukaryota; Metazoa; Chordata; Lepidosauria; Squamata; Lacertidae.
UGACCUCAAAGGGACCCAACCUCCUGGGUCUUAAUUUCUUACAACCUCCUUUGAACGGCAACCCUCGGGUUGACAGCCACACCCUAUCUCCAACCCUUAUGGUUUCACCUUCCCUUCGGUUCUUGUCUGCCUGCCUCUUGUAUUCUUCCUUCGCCCUUUCUAAGUUGAGUUGGAGCUGACGGUGGAUUGCUUCCAUUUCUUCUACAAAAUGCUCGGCUGCCGGUACGCUCCAUCUCUCCCCUUCUCCCCUGGGAAAGCCCUGGGAUGACACCCAUAAUUAGCCAAGAAGGGGCUCAUCCCUGUGGACACAUUCUCGGCAUUGUUGUAGGCAAAUUCCGCCAGCGCCAACUUUUCUACCCAGUCAUUCUCUCUGUCAUUGACAUAACACCUCAGGUAUUGCUGGAGGACACCGUUUGCUCUUUCCGCCUGCCCGUUGGUUUCAGGGUGCCGGGCAGUCGAAAGGUUGACCUCCACCUGCAGUAAGCUCAUGAGCUUCCUCCAGAACCUGGAAGUAAAUUGUUUUCCUCGGUCUGAGACCACCCUCAAUGGCACCCCGUGCAACCUAAAAAUGUGUUCUACAAAUAACUUCGCUGUCUCUUCCGCCGUGACUGCAUGCGAGCAAGCUACAAAGUGGCACAUCUUUGUUAGUAGGUCUACCACCACCAUGAUGGCUGUUUUCCCUUUGGACUUCGGCAGAUCAGUCAUAAAAUCUAUCGACACUGCCUCCCAAGGUCGUUCUGGUGUUGGUAAGGGUUCUAAUAGCCCCGCCGGCGCUCGCCUUUCCCCUUUGGCUCGCUGGCACUGCUCGCACCCUCUUACAUACUCACGUACAUCCUCCCUCACCUUAGGCCACCAAAAUUCCCUGGUGACCAACCACAUGGUUUUGUGUUGCCCAAAAUGCCCCGCCGUGGGGCUGUCAUGCAACUGCUUGAGUACCCUCCCCCUUAAGUCUCCUUCAGGGAUAUACAGUGCCCCUUUGUAAUACAAAGCUCCAUUUCUUUCCUCGAAACCCCUUGAUUCCUCUCCCUCAUCCCUAAGACCUCUGAGCUUAUUCUGGGCGUAUUCAUCAUUCUCUGUUUCUUCUACCAGUUCUCUUUGUCCCACCAAUGCCGCCCCACACACCCAGCGGUCCUCUGGAAUGACAUGUCUCUCUUCGGGUGCUCCCUCCCCCUCCAAAUAUUCAGGUUUGCGUGAGAGAGCGUCCGCCCUAAUGUUCUCUGGGCCUGGCACGUAACAAAUCUCAAAGUUAAAUUUGGAGAAUUCCUGGGCCCACCUCACUUGCCGUUGGUUGAGCACUCGUGCCGUCCUCCAAUACUCUAGGUUCUUGUGGUCAGUGCACACUUGCACCUUAUGUUGUGCGCCAAUUAGCAGGUGCCUCCAUCUCCGGAACGCCUCAUGAAUGGCUAGUAGUUCUCGGUCAUACACCGUGUAGUUCCUCUCGGAUUUGUUCAGCUUUCGCGAAAAAAAGCACACGGUCUCCACUCUGACUCCUCCUUCCCUGGCUGGAGAAGCACCGCCCCAACCGCUCUGUCUGAUGCGUCAGUUUCCACUCUCAUCGGUUUUUGUAAAUCCACAUGCAGGAGCUGUUGUUCCGAGGCGAAGGCCCUUUUUAGUUCCUCAAAUGCUUGCUCCGCCUCCUCCGUCCAAACGAACUUCUUCUUACUGCUGAGACAGUCCGUAAUGGGCGCCGUCAGGUGGGCAAAGUUUGGGAUGAACUUACGAUAGAAGUUCCCAAAUCCUAAAAACCUCUGCACAUCCUUCCUUGUUUUGGGUGUUUUCCAUUCCAGUACCGCCUGGACCUUGCCGGGAUCCAUGGCCAACCCCUUGUCAGACAGGCGAUACCCCAGGAAUUCCACCUCCUUGGUAUGAAACUGACACUUCUCCAGUUUCACCCACAGCUGGUUGGCUUGCAGCCUGCUCAACACUUCUCUGACGUCUCUCACAUGCUGCUCCUCAUUCUCAGAAUACACCAACACGUCGUCCAAGAAGGCCACACAAUUCUUGUAAAGCAACGGCCCCAGGACGUGGUUCAUAAACGAUUGAAAUGUUGCGGAGCCUGCUUGUAGACCGAAGGGCAUAACUAAGUAUUCAAAUGCCCCUAAAGGGGUGAACAUGGUGGUUUUCCAUUCAUCCCCCUUCCUUAUUCGUAUCAGGUUGUACGCCCCCCUUAGAUCCAGCUUGGUGAAAAUCUUUCCCUUCCGCACCCUUGUCAAAAUGUCGUCAAUCCUGGGCAUCGGGAAGGCCACUGGUUCUGACACUGCAUUUAAGGCCCUGAAGUCACACACCAGUCUCGGCUUGUUCGUGUUUUUGUCCACAAAAACACUGGGCUGCCCCACCGCCCUGGACUCUCUGAUGAACCCUCUCUUCAGGUUCUUGUCAAUGAACUCUCUUAGCUCCUGCAUCUCUCUGUCUGACAUGGCGUACAGCUUGCCCACAGGGAGCUGUGCCCCAGGGAGCAAAUUGAUUUGACAGUCAAAGGCUCUAUGCGGUGGUAGUUGGUCAGCUUCCCUUUCGCUGAAGACGUCGCGGAGAUCUGCGUAUUGUCGUGGUACCUUCACGUUCUCCGUUACUUCAGUCCCUGCUAGGGUGGCUUGGGCCCCUGCCAAAACCUUUCCCUCUUUGCAGUGUUCUAAGCAAUGUGCUGACCCAAAAGAAACCACUCUUUGAUGCCAGCCCACCAGCGGAUCAUGUAACGCUAGCCAGCUCAUCCCCAAUAUAAUGGGAGCUCCUCCCAAGGUGGCCACAUUAAAUGCUAUUAGUUCGGUGUGCCUUGCCACCUUCAUUAUCAUUGGGACGGUCUGCAAGCUGACUUCUCCUCCCAACAGCUCCCUGCCAUCGAUCGUGGUUACCUGCAGGGGGUUGCUUAAAGGGAGCGUCUGUAUCUGGUGUUCAGCUGCAAACUCUUUGCUCAUGAAAUUGCAGGAGCUGCCUGAGUCCAACAGCGCCUUUAUCUUUAGAGGGUGUCCGUUUGGCAGCUCUAGUGUCACUUCUAUCACUAGGGCGGGUUUAGGAGGUUCUGGCGUGGGCACUUUCACUGCUCUUUGGCCUGGCUGCUGUGCCCCGACAAUGGCAGCCAGGCGUUGGCUUUUAGUUGCUCCGGUAUUUUUCCUCUCUUCCCUCCACAGCUCCCACCAUCCCUUGCCAUUCCUUCCUCUGGGGGCAGACUCUGGCAAAGUGCCCUGGCUGUUGGCAGAGAUAGCAUUUCCGGGCGCCUUUUCCCUCCUUUUUUCCCCCCUCACUGGGCUUUGAAACUGCGCGCGCGCGCUGUUCCGAUUUCCAUCGGCUCUGCCGGCGGGAAAGUUGGCUCUGGAAUGUCUGGAAUGCGGAACUCCUUCCAACGUUCCCCUUUCCCUUCCCGCCUCUCCAAUGCUCUCGCCUCCUGGCGCGCUCCUAUGGCCAGCGCUGAUUUGGUCAGCUGGUCCAUAGACUCCGCCCUGGGCGCCCGGGAAAGUUCAUCUUUCACAGCCGAAGAAAGCCCUUCUUCAAAGAGCAUUUGAAUGGGUUCCGCCGAUAAGUCCCACCCCAAUCUGUGUAUCAGCAUGGUGAACUCAGUCCAGUACUCACGUACAGAUCGGCUCCCCUGUUUGCAAGCCAUUAACUGUCUGCGCACCACUCCCUUUUCAAUAUCGCUGGAAAACAUCAGAUCCAUGGCGCGAAAGAACUUCAUCGUGUCCUUUAGGACGUCACUAUGCGCUGCCAUCAGGGGUCUAACCCAGUCUCUCGCCCCCUUUUCAAGAUGCCCAAUCACAAAAGCCACUCGUGAUUCCUCAUCAGGGAAUCAUCAAACUGCAGAUUGAGGGCAUAUUGCAUUUCUGUCCGAAAGCUAUGAUAGUCUUUGGGCUCCCCCCCAAAUUUCUGCACCAAUCCUGGUACCUUUCUGGCGAGCUGGGUGGCUUUCUCCCUGUUGUCUGCAUCUUGAGCCCUCCUCUCCUCCAGCCUCGCCGUCUGCAGCGCCAGCUGGACCUCCAACACCCGGUACCUUUCUUCCAGGCUUGGACCCGCUCCAGCCCCUGCUUCUCCGGUUCCUGCUGGGUUGCUCAUUAUGCCUUCUCCUGCACAAGCUGCGUUCAAAGACUGUCGGAAUGCUGUGAUGGGAAGAUGAGCUGCUUGUGCGUAAAAUCGUAUUCCCUCAGUGUUUGUUCAAGUCCACAAACCUCUGUCUGUGACGGAGCCCCUCUGACAUGGCUCCUCUAGUCACUAGAAGAUUCCGACAGUGGUUGCUUUCGUAAUCGCUUCCAACAUAAAAGCUCCUUAACGGAAACACGUCUUCUGGACUCUCUGCGUGACAGUUUCCGGCGAGGAGUGGGUGUCCCUACAGGAGGUCCGGAAACCUCACCACUGUUUUCGCUGGAAGUAUCUCUGAGCCAUCCCCCAGCUCCCUUUCCCUCAGUUCAGCUUCUCCCCCCUGCUGGUUUCCUCUUCAGCUGCUGAGUCUCUUCCAACCUGUCUGAGCCCUUUCACCUCCCUCAGUUCAGCUUCUCUCCCCUUGCUGGUUCCCUGUUCAGCUGCUGAGUCUCUUCCAACCUGUCUGAGUCCUUUCACCUCCCUUCCUUCCGAUGGCAGUUCCCUGACA